Long non-coding RNA from Prionailurus viverrinus (fishing cat), 722 nucleotides. RefSeq lists it as uncharacterized. The transcript is spliced from 3 exons. NCBI's taxonomy places the organism in Eukaryota, Metazoa, Chordata, Mammalia, Carnivora, Felidae. The record is from RefSeq and is a predicted model, not a curated record.
CCAAGGGACAGCUCACAGCAGGACAGCACCAUCAUCUGACUUACUUCCUAAGAAGAGCCCAUUAACAGCCUCGCGGACAAGGGACUGCAGGAGAAGUUUCUCCCAAGAAGUCAUCCUUCUUGAACCUAAACACUGACGACAGGUUUCUGUUUCCUGCUAGCUGAAUAAGGACAAGAUAGUGGAAGUUGAAGCAACCGUCUGGGACCAUGAGAUGGAAGUCAUGUUGAGAACAGCAGAAAAAGGAACAAGGGCCUGGCGGCCCAAUGCAGUCCAGCCACCAUAACUGCUUUGACUGCUGUGAUCUAGUUUAAGCCAUGGUAUUUGUGAGUUUCUGCUGCAACACUUACAGCAGCUUCCUAACUAACACUGUUGUUUAACAAAGCUCUAUUUUUUUUUAAAUACUAAUAGCUUUCUUUAUUGAGAUACAAUUCACCAUAUAAUUUACCCAUUUAAAGUAUAUAAUUGAGUUUUUAGUAUAUUCACUGGUUUAUACAACCCAUUUGCCACAGUAAAUUUCAGAACAUCACCAAAAAGAGAAAUCCCACACCAUCCUCCAUCCUGUCAGCUCCCCCAAUGACCCAGCCCUAAACCACUAAUCUACUUUCUGUCUCUAUGGAUUUGCUUAUUCUGGACAUUCCAUAUAAACUGACCAAUACAAUGCACGAUCUUUUGUGACUGGCUUCUUUCAUUUAGCAUGUUUUCAAGGUUCAUCCAUGCUACAG